GACGAACGCUGGCGGCGUGCUUAACACAUGCAAGUCGAACGAAGAGCGAUGGAAGCUUGCUUCUAUCAAUCUUAGUGGCGCACGGGUGAGUAACGCGUAAUCAACCCGCCCUUUUGGGGGGGACAACAGUAGGAAACGACUGCUAAUACCGCAAACGAUCUAAUCUCGGCAUCGAGGGUAGAUUAAAGGUGGCCUCGACAUGUAAGCUAUCACUGAAGUUGGGGAUUGCGUCUGUUUAGCACGCUGGAGGGGUAACGGCCCACCAAGGCGAGGAUCAGUAGCCGGUCUGAGAGGAUGGACGGCCACACUGGGACGGAGACACGGCCCAGACGGCUUCAGGAGGGAGCAGUGGGGAAUCGUCCGCAAGGGACGGAAGGCUGACGGAGCAACGCCGCGGGAGGGAUGACGGCCUUCGGGUUGUGAAGCUCUGUUUAUCGGGACGAAAGGGCUUCUUGCGAAUAGUGAGAAGGAUUGACGGUACCGGAAUAAAAAGCCACGGCUAACUACGUG
RNAcentral lists this ribosomal RNA (510 nucleotides) under uncultured bacterium. RNAcentral describes it as "partial 16S ribosomal RNA". It matches the Rfam family "Bacterial small subunit ribosomal RNA", at positions 28 to 507 of the family's 1533-position model. The record is from RNAcentral.